RNAcentral lists this ribosomal RNA (497 nucleotides) under uncultured bacterium. RNAcentral describes it as "partial 16S ribosomal RNA". It matches the Rfam family "Bacterial small subunit ribosomal RNA", at positions 28 to 507 of the family's 1533-position model. The record is from RNAcentral.
GAUGAACGCUGGCGGCGUGCCUAAUACAUGCAAGUCGAGCGAACAGACGAGGAGCUUGCUCCUCUGACGUUAGCGGCGGACGGGUGAGUAGCACGUGGAUAACCUACCUAUAAGACUGGGAUAACUUCGGGAAACCGGAGCUAAUACCGGAUAAUAUAUUGAACCGCAUGGUUCAAUAGUGAAAGACGGUUUUGCUGUCACUUAUAGAUGGAUCCGCGCCGCAUUAGCUAGUUGGUAAGGUAACGGCUUACCAAGGCAACGAUGCGUAGCCGACCUGAGAGAGUGAUCGGCCACACUGGAACUGAGACACGGUCCAGACUCCUGCGGGAGGCAGCAGUAGGGAAUCGUCCGCAGUGGGCGAAAGCCUUACGGAGCAACGCCGCGUGAGUGAUGAAGGUCUUCGGAUCGUAAUACUCUGUUAUUAGGGAAGAACAAAUGUGUAAGUAACUAUGCACGUCUUGACGGUACCUAAUCAGAAAGCCACGGCUAACUACGUG